RNAcentral lists this ribosomal RNA (393 nucleotides) under uncultured bacterium. RNAcentral describes it as "partial 16S ribosomal RNA". It matches the Rfam family "Bacterial small subunit ribosomal RNA", at positions 523 to 918 of the family's 1533-position model. The record is from RNAcentral.
AUACGGAGGAUCCGAGCGUUAUCCGGAUUUAUUGGGUUUAAAGGGAGCGUAGGCGGACGCUUAAGUCAGUUGUGAAAGUUUGCGGCUCAACCGUAAAAUUGCAGUUGAUACUGGGUGUCUUGAGUACGGUAGAGGCAGGCGGAAUUUGUGGUGUGGCGGUGGAAUGCUUAGAUAUCACGAAGAACUCCGAUUGCGAAGGCAGCCUGCUGGACUGUAACUGACGCUGAUGCUCGAAAGUGUGGGUAUCAAACAGGAUUAGAUACCCUGGUAGUCCACACAGUAAACGAUGAAUACUCGCUGUUUGCGAUAUACAGUAAGCGGCCAAGCGAAAGCGUUAAGUAUUCCACCUGGGGAGUACGCCGGCAACGGUGAAACUUAAAGGAAUUGACGGGG